AGGAUGUGAAGCAUAGCCUCACUUGCAUGUCCUAACUUCUUCAGUGGAGCCACAGGUGAUGGGAACAUAUCUGGUAAAGCCUUCAUCAUGAUGAUGGAGGUUAAAAACUAAAAUAGUUUCAUUUGAUUUACUGCAGUCAGUUAUUUAAACAAAAAUGAAUCCGUUCAUGGAAUUCUCCAUUGUCAACAGAGCCAGUAAUUACCUUUGUCCAGCAGCGGUGGCUUCGUGACCUUUUUGAACACUCCAUAAAACUGUGCCUUGUUGUAAAAGGUCCCUCAGCAAGUCAGUUAUGAACAAAUUAUUAUUUUCAAUGACAGCCUAGGAACAGUGGGUUAACUGCCUUGUUCAAGGGCAGAACGACAGAUUUGUACCUCAUCAGCUCAGGGAUUUGAACUUGCAACCUUUCAGUUACUAAUCCAACACUCUAACCACUAGGCUACCCUGCCACGCCUGAGUUAAUCCAUAACCUGACACAGACAGACAGACAGAGUAAGACUGUCUAUCUAGCUGGAGACAUAGGAAGCAUUAGCCUGGUUACUACCAGACCGAAUUCUCGAUUUUGUACAUCUCCUGUAGAGUUUUAUAAUGUCUCGCCUGGUUCUGUAGGCCUCUCAGUAGUUUCUGAUGCCAGAAAACAUCACAAACCCGACCAAUUAACAUUUAAAAAUGUAGACUGAAAUUAAGACCAGUGAUUCCGCUGGUACUACCCCCCCAAACCUCUCAUUCCACAGGAAACACUGAAGACUAAAUAGUCACUUUGUUUCUAGUCCCUCAUUUAGAGUAGUAGUAGAAGUUGCAUUUAUACGGAAACACUAUACACUAUUUCAAUUUGUGUACUUACCACCCAACUGUUCAACCUCUGGGGUGCUGCAUCUAGAUAGUGGGGAUCUCUCCAGGUCCCAGAGGAGGUGCCUGGUCUACACAGGUCUGAUUCUUCACCCUGUAUAAGACAUACAUUUAUUCAAUAGUAAUUAUAAAGGCAAAGAACACCACUGUAACAACAACCUAACAGCAAACACCAAAACAAGUACAUCUGUAGAUACCUGUAUUGUAAUGAUUGCCAGGAAAUGCUACUUUGAUAACAGGAAACACUGUCUGCAUGGUUAGAUUAAAUGUCUCCCAAAUGUCAAAAUCUAACAUUACCUCAUUUUCACCAUGAGUAAAUCUCCAAAUGGUUCUCCUUCUGAAGAAGUGCUCUGGACCGGGAAAGAGAUCACGUAAAUUCUCCUUAGAGAGGCUGGGCAGCAUGUCUGUGCUUAUAUUAGCAGCUGAAGAACACAUUUAACCACAUGGUAAAUAGUUAAGUAAUUAGCAAUAAAAUCAUAGUUUAUAGACGCAAAGUGUCAGGUUGAUAUAGGUUAUGAUACAUUUGCAUACUGUCUUCCCUUUCCAGUUAAUGCAGGAAUGAUUUACCAAGCUAGCUAAUGUUAGCUAACAAAAUUAUACUACUAGUAUAUCAUUAACGUUGAAGUCAAUUACUUUAAACCAAAACGCUAAAUUGUCUCCCAUAUUGAAAACCUUACUGUGAGAUUUGGCCCUGCAUAAUGGGGUGUUAAAGUUUAACCUAUACCUUUAAGCUAAUAAGUAUUGUUGGGUUUUAUUUCACUUAUUAGAUAUGAUGCAUUACCAUUUACAGUAGAUGUAGGCCUAAGUAUGAACGGACUGUAAUGCACUAAGAGGUUUAUAUUGUAUUAACAUAGAUUGAGCAACAUAUAAUAGACAUGACUAACUGGAGGGUUGCUGGCUAGUAGGAGUGUAGGCUGAGUAGACUCGUGACACACACACACACACACAAUGCCUGGUUGUGGGGUCGCUCAAGGACAGGUGUACGGGAGGGGCUGGUAGAAUGGAAGCAGAAACUGUCCUAACUGUAGCAUAAAAACAGGCACUGUCCUUGGGUGUCUGACUCUCGGGUACACACAUGAAGAUAAGCUAGAAGACAACUAUGGUUGGCAACAAAGAUGUGUCUAGAGGCUGGGACCAGCCUGCACGCCAACGAUAGGAUGAGUAAGUUUAAACCACGCUCAUCCUCCCUCUGACAGGCCAGCAGUGAGCUGGAACUAUCUCUGUCAGAGUAUUUAAUGAAGAACUUAUGAUGUCAUUUUCAGUUCUCUGUUUGCCCUGCGGGGUGUUACAGUGAACCCGUAUAUACGGAAAUUGCAUUUGCCAUUUAUUAACUGCUGAAUAAAUAUUGACAUUAAUAUAAAAUAUAAUUGACUCUUUGUUCCUAUAUCAGAUUCGAACACAUGCAGCCUUAACAAUUUGGUGACCCCGACGUGAUCUGAAGGAACUUCGCUGGAAACACCAGCCUUUUGGGCAUGGCUGUCGCCGGACGGGGUCCUCUCACAAAAAGACCAGUCUUCAAAUAACAGGUAAGCAGAUACCUAUUGUGAUAACUGAAAUUCUGCAUAUUGGCAUUAUCCAAAUUUAUUUUGUGAGAUUACCAGUCUGGUGUAAGUCGCUAAAAAUUGUAGAACCAACCUACAAUAUAAUUAUUAUAUAUUAUUAUAUAUAAAAAUUAUAUAGAAAAUAUAAAGGAACAAUGGCGAAUGCAUUUUCAAUUGGCCAAUAAGAAUGAAUGAUUAAGUGUGAGCGAUUGAAUUGUUAUUAAAAGACUGACUCUAUGUAUGUAUGAGAUAUGCAAUAACUGUAAAAGGAGAAUAACAGUUAAAUGAAUAUGUGUGUGUGAGGGUAGACGGCAGCACAACCUCUGUGCGCGAUGGAAUAUUGGAAAUAAGAUAAGUUCAAUCGUGAUCGAAUUGAACGGCAAUAUUCCGGGUUUAAUGUUUGAAACAAUGUGUAUUGGACAUAAGAUAAGUUCACUGGGCAAAUGAGAGCUUGUAUGAGUGAGUGAAAGUGUAUACAGUCACAUAAGGGAUUAUUACAACAACAACAAAAACUAGACCAUUAAUUUAGUAUUACAAAACAAAUUACUAGAGCUCAAGAUAUGGCCCAAAUUGAGUAACGGACUCCCAGUCGACGGGGAGCCCGGUAGAAUAUUGGAAACGCUAAAACGAAAAACAGACAAAAACCUGUUCCGAGUGGAAGCAGGAGGGGGAAGCGCGUAAAGGCAACUUAAAAGAAGCAAUGGAGAAGGCUCAAUUAAAGGAGCAGAAUAACUACAAUGAUAAUUCAACAAACAUGGGUAGUAAAUCCUCAAAGGAGGUGCAGGAAUUAACGGGAGAUGAGCGAUACAUGGAGUUAAAUGUUAUAAAAUAAAUAUUUAUUUCGGUCCAAUUUGGAGAAGGAAGUAUGAAUUUGAUGGAAGUUUGGAUGUGGAAAAGUUGGGACUAAUGGUAAGAAAGUAGAAAGAGAGAGAGGCAGAGUCAACGGUCACAGGAGUACGUGCCUAAUUGUACGACUACAGACAUUGAUAAAUAGGGUUAUUUGCGAGGACUGUCCAUCAGUUCAAUAUCGCAUUGGUGGUUCAGUGAUAGAAGUCUCGCCUGCAAUGUGAGAGACUCGGGUUCGCUUCUCAGCCUAUGCAUCAGUGGAUACAAAUUUUAGGUGCUGAUUGUUAUUCAACUGUUGGUAUGUUUUGCCUGGAAAGAUACGGUUGUUAGUGGUUGUUUAAGAUAUAAACCGAACGUUUUGAUAGCUUGUUUAGUUUAAAUUGAAGAGACAGUUACCGAAAUCUAAUGAAUUAUAAUGAGCGGAUAGGUUUGAAGGGAGUUGUAUUAAGUUGUAUUAAGUAUUUUAUAAAUUUGGCAAUUUACAUGGUACAUUUAAGGUCAUAGACAUUUCAUAAGUGUGAAGCCAAACGAGAGAUACAGUUGUAACAUUGGUUUUAAUCUUGCGAUAGAGGAAAGGCAGAACGCUGUUUGAAAAGAGGUAAUAUUUUUUCCUACGAGUAUGUGGCUGGAAGCGGUUCUGGUCUGAAUAAUGGAAUCGUAAAAGUUUUGUGAUAAAUUCUGGUUAUUGAUUCAUGGUAUUGAUUGUUUAGUAACACCAGUGAAUUGAACAUUGAAUGGAAAAAUAUUAAGUCAUUAAAGUGAAUUACAGGUGGAGUUAAUUUAAUUUUUACAGGGAUGGUGCACAUUAAACACAGUUGUGUAUAAUGGCAGGGUAUUCCUAGCAAACAGAAUGGGCCAGUUUGCAGACAAACUGAAAGGGUUUUAAGGUUUUAAGCAAUCUUGGGUCAAAUUAGUCAAAUAGUAUGUUAAAAUAUGGGGUUUCAUAGAUUGAAGUACAGUAUUUUAUCCAAGGGUAGCGCAUGUUCAAUUAAGUUUAAAACUAAUAAUUGGGGGGAGUACAAUGGAAGUAUAAGCAUUUUUAGGUUUUGUUUGUAGUUAACUUUUGGGUUUCUGAAUCGGUGUAGUAUGAGGAAAUGCUGACCAAGUGGUUAUUUUAUGGAAAAAGGAGCUCUUUGGGGAAAAGUUCCUAGGGACAGGAUAUCUUAAAGGGGUAUACACACAUGGCAUUUUGAAGUUUUGUUUUCUGAGUUUUGAUUAAAGCACGUGAAAUUAUUUUAAUAGGGAAUGUUCUGGGAAAUUGAGAUACAAAAUGUAGAUAAAGGUACUAGCUUCAUUUGUCUAAUAUAGUAAGAAACACGGUUCUGAAAAGGGGGUGGGACUUUUAACCCCUCUGGUGACUUUUCCUGUGUGGUCUGAUCAGCCACAUUGAAAAGCCAUUUGGAUGGUGAAUUUAAGGUCAUUGGUGAUAUUGAUUUUAAGGGAAUUUGUAGAACUGAUAAUUAUGAUGGAGUUAAAGUUCUUAGAGACAAUUGAUCAUUUCAACCAAUGAGAAGACUAAAAGGGCAAAGCCUUAGAAUAAGGGUAGGCUUUCUUAAGUCUAUUUUCCUAGAACAAUAAGGGUACAUUCAUUUUCCUUUAUGGUAGUUCAGAUGUUUAUUUUCCCUUAGGAAGUCAGCUGUGGUUGUAAGCAGUGGAAGAGAUUUAACACAACAAGGCUGUGGAAUUGAUAUACUAGUAUUACUAUAUUUUGUUGUGAAUAAGUUUAAUAAUGGUAGACUUAUGUCAACAGAACAGGGAUACAUGACAUCUGUAGGUGAUCCAGGAUUAUUGAGGGUAUCGAGAUAAAUUUAAGUAGAUAUGCAAUAUCUAGACAGGUUGAUUUUUCUAAAGUUCAGGAGUGCAACCAAGGAGACAAUGAGACAUUUAGUCAAUAUUUGGAAACAACCAUAUUAUGAGAAAAAGCUGGAGACAGAUAGAAGGGCAGACAGAGAGAUCCUCCCCUGCACUGCUGAAACCUUGAGGGUUGGGGAGUAGCAGGAAGAAAGGAGGGGGGCCAGCAGGAGUAGAUAGGAAGAGAAUUUGGUUCACUUAGCUUUAGGAUAUUAAUUCAUGGAGAGACUAUCGGCUCCAUUGGCAGGCAUGUAUUUUAGUUUUGAUUUUAAGUUUAUGUUUGGUAAAUUCGCUAGGAGGAGAUAUGAUCAUUUUGUUGAAAGUAAUUGUUACCCUAACUAAAAGGGCAAUGAAAGCUUAGUUGGUUUCAGGUGUUAGACACUGAACCAUUGCCCAGACACUAUUCUGCACAGUAGGCCGAAAUAGUAGCAUUGACUAGAACCGG
Molecule: non-coding RNA, 5529 nt
Organism: Salmo salar (Atlantic salmon)
Lineage: Eukaryota; Metazoa; Chordata; Actinopteri; Salmoniformes; Salmonidae
Source: RefSeq, a predicted model, not a curated record